AUGGCCGAGGCCCCCCCGCGCCGCCUCGGCCUGGCCCCCCCGCCCGGGGACGCCCCCCGCGCCGAGCUGGUGGCGCUCACGGCGGUGCAGAGCGAGCGGGGCGAGGCGGGCGGGGGCGGCUCCCCGCGCCGCCUGGGCCUUCUGGGCAGCCCCCUACCGCCGGGCGCGCCCCUCCCUGGGCCGGGCUCAGGCUCGGGCUCCGCCUGCGGCCAGCGCUCCUCGGCCGCGCACAAGCGCUACCGCCGCCUGCAGAACUGGGUCUACAACGUGCUGGAGCGACCCCGCGGCUGGGCCUUCGUCUACCACGUCUUCAUAUUUUUGCUGGUCUUCAGCUGCCUGGUGCUGUCCGUGCUGUCCACUAUUCAGGAGCACCAGGAACUUGCCAAUGAAUGUCUCCUCAUCUUGGAAUUCGUGAUGAUCGUGGUGUUUGGCCUGGAGUACAUCAUCCGCGUCUGGUCCGCGGGAUGCUGCUGCCGCUACCGAGGAUGGCAGGGCCGCUUCCGCUUUGCCAGAAAACCCUUCUGUGUCAUCGACUUCAUCGUGUUCGUGGCCUCGGUGGCCGUCAUCGCUGCGGGCACGCAGGGCAACAUCUUCGCCACGUCCGCGCUGCGGAGCAUGCGCUUCCUGCAAAUCCUGCGCAUGGUCCGUAUGGACCGCCGCGGCGGCACCUGGAAGCUGCUGGGCUCUGUGGUCUACGCGCACAGCAAGGAGCUGAUCACCGCCUGGUACAUCGGGUUCCUGGUGCUCAUCUUCGCCUCCUUCCUGGUCUAUCUGGCCGAGAAGGAUGCCAACUCCGACUUCUCCUCCUAUGCCGACUCACUCUGGUGGGGGACGAUCACACUGACGACCAUUGGCUAUGGUGACAAGACACCGCACACAUGGCUGGGCAGGGUCCUGGCUGCCGGCUUCGCCUUACUAGGCAUCUCCUUCUUUGCCUUGCCUGCUGGCAUCCUGGGCUCUGGCUUUGCCCUGAAGGUGCAGGAGCAGCACCGUCAGAAGCACUUUGAGAAGAGGAGGAUGCCUGCAGCCAACCUCAUCCAGGCUGCGUGGCGUUUGUACUCCACCGACACGAGCCGGGCCUACCUGACGGCCACCUGGUACUACUAUGACAGUAUCCUCCCAUCCUUCAGAGAGCUGGCCCUCUUGUUUGAGCACGUGCAACGGGCCCGCAAUGGGGGCCUACGGCCCCUGGAGGUGCGGCGGGCGCCGGUACCUGAUGGAGCGCCCUCCCGUUACCCGCCCGUUGCCACCUGCCACCGGCCGGGCAGCGCCUCCUUCUGCCCUGGGGAAAGGUAGGGGCCCCCUGGGGCCACCACCUCCUCUUGCUUCUCCUUCUCCUUUUCCAUUCUUUGUCUCACCCUCUCUCAGACCUGUGUGCAGCCACCAUGUGGGUGUCUGGGCCUGUUCUGGGGACUCCCAGGCCUUGUCAUGAGGCCUGGGCAGUUGUCGUUGGAUGGCCUGACAGCUGGAGAGAGGAGGAGGCCGCUGGCCACAGGUGCUUACGGCUCAGGUAAUCGUGGGCACCAUUCUGGGGCGCGAGGGCCGGGAACCCCCUCCCCCAGCAUGUUCCUCUAGAAGGGGCUCGCCACUGAACUUGCCUCCUGGGAACAAGACGCCAGCUGGAGAGAGAGCUCUGUGACUAAGAACCGCUGUAGGACCUACAUAAACUCAGCCAAUGACUAAUGCUCUUGUCUUGUGUAACCCUCGUCCACAGCUUGGCUAAUCCCAGAGGGUCCUCUUGGGAUUCUCCCACAAUGCCUUUCUUCCUUACUGAGGGACAUUUUGCUGCUCCUAACAGUCUUUUUCCCCUUGACCUGUCUCUCCUGGAGCUCUUGCAUCUUGAAAGAAGAAGAAAGAACAAUGCUUACCCCCACAUAAAUGUUCAAAGUAGUGGAAUUUCAGGCAUUUUUGGAGAAGGGAAGCUCACUGACUCACAGUAUGGGAAGAGGGCUGUUUCUAUAAAGGUAUAGCUUUGAGGUCAAGGAUUCAGUUCCCCCUGAUUCCUCCCUUGCCCCCUCUCCAUCUCUUUGUUUUGUCUCAUCUUCACACAUCAUCCCUGAGCAGCCAGGUAGACAUCUGGGCCUUAAGCCUCAGGUGCGAUUCCGAGCCCUGGGCCCAGAACAGGGGAAGGGAGAAGAGGCCAGCCACGCUGCAGUGGGAAGGAGGCAGUGUGGUGAAAGCUGGUCUCUGACACCUGAGGCUGUGUGUCCUUGAGAAAGUUACUGAGUCCCUCUGGGCCUCUGGGUCCUAGGCAGAACAUCAGCAGUAGUUAGGCUGAUCAGGGGCUCUGGGUUCUCCAGGCUGCAAAGGCCUGGGGAACGGGGUGGAGGGGGGUGCGGUGGUGAGGGGUUGGUGCAGAGGAUGCUGGGAACAGCAUUUCUUCCCUGUGAUUGGUGAGGGCAUCUCCAGCCAGGAGCUGAACAGAAGCAGGGAGACCGGGUGG
Molecule: RNA transcript, 2443 nt
Organism: Lontra canadensis (Northern American river otter)
Lineage: Eukaryota; Metazoa; Chordata; Mammalia; Carnivora; Mustelidae
Gene: KCNQ4
Gene name: potassium voltage-gated channel subfamily Q member 4
Exons: 10
Source: RefSeq, a predicted model, not a curated record